UUCUGUAAGCCGUUGAAGGUGUGCUGUGAGGCAUGCUGGAGGUAUCAGAAGUGCGAAUGCUGACAUAAGUAACGAUAAAGCGGGUGAAAAGCCCGCUCGCCGGAAGACCAAGGGUUCCUGUCCAACGUUAAUCGGGGCAGGGUGAGUCGACCCCUAAGGCGAGGCCGAAAGGCGUAGUCGAUGGGAAACAGGUUAAUAUUCCUGUACUUGGUGUUACUGCGAAGGGGGGACGGAGAAGGCUAUGUUAGCCGGGCGACGGUUGUCCCGGUUUAAGCAUGUAGGCGGAGGUUCCAGGUAAAUCCGGUACCUUUUAACGCUGAGGUGUGAUGACGAGGCACUACGGUGCUGAAGUAACAAAUGCCCUGCUUCCAGGAAAAGCCUCUAAGCAUCAGGUAACACGAAAUCGUACCCCAAACCGACACAGGUGGUCAGGUAGAGAAUACCAAGGCGCUUGAGAGAACUCGGGUGAAGGAACUAGGCAAAAUGGUGCCGUAACUUCGGGAGAAGGCACGCUGACAUGUAGGUGAAGCCCCUGCGGGUGGAGCUGAAGUCAGUCGAAGAUACCAGCUGGCUGCAACUGUUUAUUAAAAACACAGCACUGUGCAAACACGAAAGUGGACGUAUACGGUGUGACGCCUGCCCGGUGCCGGAAG
RNAcentral lists this ribosomal RNA (653 nucleotides) under Pluralibacter gergoviae. RNAcentral's name for it is "partial 23S ribosomal RNA". It matches the Rfam family "Bacterial large subunit ribosomal RNA", at positions 1239 to 1875 of the family's 2925-position model. Lineage: Bacteria; Pseudomonadati; Pseudomonadota; Gammaproteobacteria; Enterobacterales; Enterobacteriaceae. The record is from RNAcentral.